AAUUAUUUUAUUUUAGGAAAUUAGGGAAUGAAAAGUGAAGAAAAAUUAAUAGCCAACGUAAAAUGUUGUAUUUCUAUUUAACGGUAUUUAUUUUUUAGUUUGCUUCACUUGUUGAGGCCUGUGUCAUAGGCCUAGAGUGAUUAGAAAAAAAAACACCUCCUACUAGGUGAAAAAAACAACAACUUUAACUGUAGGUUCAUUAGAGUUAGAACAUAUGGUGGCUGUAUAAUUUAAUAAUAUAUUUUUUUUAAAAAAAGGUGAUAAACGUGUCAAAUUGUGUGUGUGUGUGUGGGGGGGGGGUAGUCGCCCAGGGCCUAGUUGUCUGAGGUUGAGUAAUGAAGAGUGUGUUUGUUUUCGGGGAGCCUUGCAGAGACAGCGUCUCGUUCGGAUGGGACGAAAAACCGAGGUCCUGUGUACACCUUGGCGUACACGUAAAAGAACCCUUGCCAGUUGGAAUUCAAUUCCUGUCCGAGAAAAAUUUCCCUUAUACUUAUAGCACACUGUAUGGCGUAUGACCGUCUUCAUUAGGCCUAUCCCGGUAGGACGUUAAACCCCAUUUCAUUCAUUAAUUCAUUAAUUUGUUUGUUUUCGCUUGUUCAGCUGAACUUGUUUGUGUUUAGAAAAAUAUUUAUGACAUGAAAAUUUAUUAUAUAUCUUAAGUUUCUUAUAAAGAUUUAGUCUAAAGGGUUUCUUUUAUUUAAAAAUGACUCGAUUGUUAUUGACAUUUACAUUGGCAACUGAGCUUGCUUGACCCUACACCCUAACCCAGACUUGCUAGAGAAGAAUGGACCGAUUUUUGAUAGGUAGGCCUACAGUUGUUGAUAAAUCAAUCUAACCUAUGAAACGCUAUUCCACUACCCUUUUUUCGGGUGUUUGAGCAGCCAAAACAGCAGCAACUUUCUGGCAUAUUGAUUCUAAAACACAAUUUAAAAAAUCUAAUGGUCGUCAGCGUCAACUCCCCGGAACUAACAUGGCGGACAAGGCCCCAUAUCGGCACGCUGUCACGUGAUCAGUGCAGACUCUAGUUUAGUUUCUAUAUAUAACUCUAUGCUAUAGCCUAAUUCCAAUGGAUCCUUGUAUCGCUUGCCGUUACACCGUGCGUCCGAGACAAGAAGGUCUCCAGUGUGAAGAGUGUAAUCUAUGGCAGCAUAGAAAAUGUACAGGUAUGUAUUUAUAAUUUCACAGAUUUUGCUUGCUUUCAUUAUUAUUGAAAUAAAUCAUAAGUAUUGAAAUAAUUACACGAGUUUUGCUAGCUAUACAUACUCAAACUUAUAUUCAUAAAAUAUUUAACCCAUUCACUAAAUUUUAAAUAAUUUUUGUUCUCUUUAGAUAUAUCCCAGGCAGCAUAUAGAAGAGCGGUGAAAGGGUUAGAAGAGAUUAAAUGGACAUGUACUCCUUGUAUAAAUGCCGCUAUUCCUGUUGCUGUUCAUGAAAUUACCGCUACUUUCGACGAAGAAGAACCUAUGGAUACUAGUGUUGGACGUGAACAAGAAGAAUUGCCUCUUAUGGAGACCAGUUCCGAGGCUGUCCCUCUGGAAAGAUCCUUCGUUUUACCCGAACCAAUACUGGAUGAUUCGAUUGACGACGAUGCUCCCGUCUUUGAUGUACCCGCAGCUGAGGGCCCCCGUUACAUCAUUCUCGAAGGUGGUACCGAGAGGGGAAACGUGAAGUUGCUGGACAUGGAGGAUUACUCCUACAUCUUUAGGCUAAUGGAAACAUAAAUUGGCGCUGUGUUCACCAUCCGAAAGUGGACUACUGUCGGGCGACAGUAAUACAGGCAGGGGAUGACUUUCGUCCAGGUUUGAAGAACCACAACCAUCCCCCCCAGCCCUUUCUACAUAUUGCCGUCCAGAUAAAGGCACAAGUCCGUAAGAAUUCCGAAAAGGACGUCUUUACCACGUCGUCAGCCCAGGUAGUUGAAGAGAUCUUGCUAGACCUGACAUCCGAGACGGCUCCUUUUCACAGCAGACCCAAAAUGUCCACAUUGGUCCGGAGUGUCAAUCAUUAUCAUUGAAUAACACACAAUUAAACUAUUUUUUUUUAUUUUCUUAUUUAUAGAUCGAAACAAAAUUUGUAGAAAUAAAUAUGGGUAAUUUUUUAAGAAAAGAUAUCAAAGAUGGUACCAACAGGCAUCUGGUUUUAGCCACUGAUAACCAGUUGCAGCUGUUAAGUAAAAUGAAGGUCCUUUUCGUCGACGGCACUUUUCGGGUUGUGAAAAAGCCUUUCACUCAGCUCUUUUCGAUUCAUGGCUUUAUUACUAAAGGCUCGAUGACUAAACAAGUUCCAUUGGUAUAUUGUUUGAUGUCAAACAGAAGCAAGGCAGAUUACUGCAAGGUUUUUGAAGCUAUUAAGGAGUUGUGUCCAGUUUUAGCUGUACGAGAAUUCGUGGCUGACUUCGAAAUAGCUACAUGGCAGGCCUUGAAGGAUACCUUUCCAGGAACAGCCAUUAAAGGUUGUGUUUUCCACUGGUCGC
Patella vulgata (common limpet) is the source of this 2473-nucleotide long non-coding RNA. RefSeq lists it as uncharacterized. The record is from RefSeq and is a predicted model, not a curated record. The transcript is spliced from 5 exons. NCBI's taxonomy places the organism in Eukaryota, Metazoa, Mollusca, Gastropoda, Patellidae.